This 481-nucleotide ribosomal RNA is filed under the name uncultured bacterium. RNAcentral describes it as "bacterial SSU rRNA". It matches the Rfam family "Bacterial small subunit ribosomal RNA", at positions 27 to 507 of the family's 1533-position model. The record is from RNAcentral.
CGGAUGAACGCUAGCGGCAGGCUUAACACAUGCAAGUCGAGGGGUAACAGGUCUUCGGACGCUGACGACCGGCAAACGGGUGCGGAACACGUACGCAAUCUACCCUUAUCUUGGGGAUAGCCCACUGAAAGUGGGUUAAUACCCGAUAGGAUUAUAGUUUGGCAUCAAACAGUAAUUAAAGAUUUAUUGGAUAGGGAUGAGCGUGCGUAAGAUUAGGUAGUUGGUGAGGUAACGGCUCACCAAGCCAACGAUCUUUAGCUGAUGUGAGAGCAUGAUCAGCCACAUGGGCACUGAGACACGGGCCCAACUCCUACGGGAGGCAGCAGUGAGGAAUAUUGGUCAAUGGACGAAAGUCUGAACCAGCCAUGCCGCGUGAAGGAUGAAGGCGUUCUGCGUUGUAAACUUCUUUUAUCAGGGAAGAAACCACCGUAUUCUUAUGGUGUUGACGGUACCUGAGGAAUAAGCACCGGCUAACUCCGUG